GGUUGCUUAGCUCAGUGGUUAACCUUUGGGUUCAGAGUAUUGUAAUGAGAAGGUCGUCAGUUUGAGUCUGGCAGCAGCCU
Molecule: non-coding RNA, 80 nt
Organism: Mycena vulgaris
Lineage: Eukaryota; Fungi; Basidiomycota; Agaricomycetes; Agaricales; Mycenaceae
Source: the annotation of a GenBank genome assembly